AUUGUGACUUGUAUUUUGUGAUGAGUCUCUAGAAUGAUUAAAUGACUAUUUUUUUAUGAAAAAUUUUUUGUUAAUAAAAUAUCUGAGGGUAUUUUGAGUAUGUGGAAGGAAUGCCUGAAUAGAAGCUGAUCUAUCUUAACAUACCUCAAGAACUCCAGUUUUAAUAUGGUGAGUGAGGAGUUGACUGGGAAAAGGAGAGAUCCAAUUCUUGUUCUAGUCCUUGGCACAUACACUCUCUGGGUUUUGAGAAAAGGAUGGUCCUACAACGAUUCUAAGUUGUUUUCUCAUUGGUCCUACAACAAUUCUAAGUUGUUUUCUCAAAGGCAAAAGCAUGAUUUCAAAAUGACAUCACUUGUCAGAUUUUCUGGUGUAUGGAAAGAUUUAAUAAUCCUGCCUCUUUUGAAGCCUGAAACUUACAAUUUAAAGCCUGAAAUCUACCAUAAGGAACUUGGUAAAUUGUGUCAGAUACCAUGAAAAUGCAUCUUUUCAUAGUUAACCACAGAUUGUUUAUGUAAAGGCAAAUUGGUGGUCAGGUUCAAGGUAAAAUGGAUUAUUGGGUUGAUUAGUAGCCAAAAACUAAAUGCAUGUUCAGGUCAAAAUGAAUUUGUUUGUUUUAGUUGGUGCCAUUUUCCUUUUAUUAUUCAGAACUACAGAGUGUGCAUUUUAUUAAUAGGAAUGAAAGCUCAUGCUUGAGGAUUUGAAUAGGGUGGAUGUAUAUAUUUUAUAAACUCAAGUUGCAAAAUAUGUAAAGUCACUACUUUUUAAAUAGAAUAUAAAUGUUAAAACAGACAAAUCUAUGUUAUAUAUUUUUUAAUACAUGUAUCAGACUUGUUAGUUGAAUGCAGAUUACUUUGCUUUAUGGAAUUUCAUAACUUUUAAUAAUAAAGCAGUUGUUAUUGGAUUUUUUCUGUAGACUUGAAUACUAAAUGGGAUAGAUACCAGACCUCUUUUUGGUUUAUGACGUAAAAGUAUUUGUACAGUAGUUUCUCUUCACAAAAGACUGAAUUUUAAAGGAUUAUAGAAACAGGAACAUGUCCAUUUCCAAAAUGAGUGCAACAGAAUGAAGAUAGUCACUUAAACCAUCUAUUUAACACAUCACCUUUAUGUAAUAUGUAGCUAGUUUUAGUGUUUUAAUAAGUCCCAACUAAAGACUGAGUGUUUUCAGUGAAGAUGGAAAUGGAGACCCAGGCACUUGCUUAGAGUUAUCGUGAGUCCGAUGUUCCUGAACUUCAAGUUGUACAAUUAAGGGCAUACUCUAAGAACUUCUGGAUGCUUUCUGGAGUAUACAAACAGAUCAACUAAUGACUUAAAUGAGUGACUCUUGAAGCUGCAAGAAGAGGAAAGAAAUAACCACAAGAAGGGGCUAUCUCAGCAUCUGUUAUUCCUGACAGGAGGAAUUAAAUAUGCUCUGCUGGUAAUUCUAAGCUUUUCUGCAGGGGAUCUGCUUGCCCCAGGAGCACCUUAGUCCUCAUUGAGGCAGCCAUUCUGCCAUAAAAACGAUCAUGUCUCAAGCUGUUCCUGCCGUCCUACACAACUAUGUUAGUAGAUGGUUAGAUAAAUAUAUGAACCAUCUUUUGUACUUUGAUGAUGCCCUUUUCCUUUAUUAUAAUCCUUAAUUUCUACUUUCCAUAGUAGGAUUUGACUUUUCUCCAUUAGUUUAAGCUACCCUGGAUAAGUGACUCUGUUUAUGUCCUCCCUAUAUUUCUUACUCAUUUUCACACUAACAUAACACGUAACAAAAUUAAACAUAAGCUAAAUUGAAGAAGCAAGUGAGACAGCUAAGAGUUUUGUGUACUUGGACAACAAAGCUCAAAGCCACUGUGGUUAUCUGUCCUGUUGGGAGCCCCUUUCAACCAUUUUUUUAGUUGCCUGUAAGAUUUAUUUUUAAUGUUUGCCUGCAUAAUGCAAAAUACAUAAGUGGGAAUCCCUACGCCCUUUACAGUUAAGUGGAUUAUGGAAAUAAUAAGGAAAGUUUAUCAACUAAGGUAGGAAAUAUCUUCUCAUGUCUGUAUCUGGCCUUCAGGGACUUAAUGUGGGUGAAUAUAUGUCAUUAGACAAGAUCCUAAUAUAGAUGGCUGUAUCCUGCAGAUAGCCAAUUCAACAUUAAAAUUUUAUGUUUCCAUACCUCAAUGAAAACAUAUUUCUUUUAUCCUGUUAUAAUUUAAUGACAUUCCCAUCCAACUUAAUCAAGCAAUGAUACUCAGUAGUCCUCUCCUUGCAUUUUUCAAGUCCUGUUGAGUGUAACUUUAAAAUGUCUCUGAGAUUUCUACCUUCUCUCCAGUCUCCUUACCAUUAGGGCCUUUCACUACCUGGCCUUGGUGUCCCUAGGCUGCUCUUCAGCUGUCCACAAACCUUGUUUCAUAAGCAGUAGCAAUGCAAGCUUCCACUGCCGUCUGCUAAUGUUCUUCCCUCCUAGAAUGUUCAUGAUCUGCGUUUCUACCUGAAAGGUCUAGUUCAAAGGUAGCUGAAAGGUUAUCAUCCUUGUCCUUUCUUCUCUCCCUACCAGUCAUCUAUCCUGAACUUUUUAACAGUAGGGACAGUGUUGCAAUUGUGUUUGUGUCCCCAGCACGUAGCACACAGUACCUAGUAUACAGUACCUGUAGCACAUAGGCAUUUAAUAAGUGUGUAUUGAAUUAACUUGGUUAUGCUUGUAUUUUUAUCCUAGCUUUCUCAAAGAAACUUAGGUGCUAGCUAUUUUGAAACAUAUAUCCAGAACCACCACCUGAGUAAAAUGUAUAACAGGACCCUGCUCUUUCUAUCCCAGAGAGUUUGAGAAAACUACUUUUAAAUAAAUCAUUAAUCAUUCUUC
RNAcentral lists this long non-coding RNA (2809 nucleotides) under Homo sapiens (human). RNAcentral's name for it is "non-protein coding lnc-STAU2-3:4". Lineage: Eukaryota; Metazoa; Chordata; Mammalia; Primates; Hominidae. The record is from RNAcentral.